GUGGCAUUAGCUCAGUUGGUUAGAGCGCCGGAUUGUGAUUCCGGAGGUCGCGGGUUCGAGUCCCGUAUGCCACC
RNAcentral lists this transfer RNA (74 nucleotides) under Planctomycetaceae bacterium. Its description in RNAcentral is "tRNA-His". It matches the Rfam family "tRNA". From Rfam's summary of the family: Transfer RNA (tRNA) molecules are approximately 80 nucleotides in length. Their secondary structure includes four short double-helical elements and three loops (D, anti-codon, and T loops). RNAcentral also lists the same sequence under 1 other name. Lineage: Bacteria; Pseudomonadati; Planctomycetota; Planctomycetia; Planctomycetales; Planctomycetaceae. The record is from RNAcentral.